This is a non-coding RNA of Perca fluviatilis (European perch), 364 nucleotides long. The record is from the annotation of a RefSeq genome assembly. Lineage: Eukaryota; Metazoa; Chordata; Actinopteri; Perciformes; Percidae.
CAUGAUGGACUAUAGGACAGGACUGCUGCUUUUAACUCUCUGCUGGGCAGGUGUUGAUGGUCAGACUCUGACAGAAUCUGAACCAGCGAUUAAAAGACCUGGAGAAUCUCACAGAUUGACCUGUACAGCAUCUGGAUUCACACUCAGCAGCUACUAUAUGGCCUGGGUCAGACAGGCUCCUGGAAAAGGACUGGAAUGGAUCGCUUAUAUAGGCACAUCUAGUUCUCCUAUCUCUUACUCCCAGUCAGUCCAGGGGAGAUUCACCAUCUCCAGAGAUGACUCCAGCAGUAAACUCUAUCUGCAGAUGAACAGUCUGAAGACCGAGGACACAGCAGUGUAUUACUGUGCACGAGAGACACAGUGA